UGAAUUUUUUUCAAUUUUCUCAUAUAACUUGUAUGAAACCAGAAUUAUCUCCUCCUUGAAAAUUCUAUAAGCUGUACUCAUACAACUGUACAGGCUUAUAGGUUUUGAGAGGGAGGGUCUUUGACCAGCAUUUUCAUAUAUUUAGUUCUUAUAGGUUGAUCCAGAUUCUGUUUCCGCUUGCAUCAAUUCUGCCAUUGUAUCUCUUUCUAGGAAUGUAGCCACUUCAUUUAAGUUUUCCAUUAUCCUGAAGCAUAUAGCACAUCUAAUACUCACUUAUUAAUUCUAAAUCUCUUUGUUUCUGUCAUUGUUUUUCCUUAUUCUGUGUUCUAAAUGACACUGAGUCCCGUUCUUUCUCCUACACCCAUAUUACCUUUAUUUAGAAGUUGAGGCUUUUGUAUUUAUUUUAAUAUCUACUUUUUUUUUUUCCUAGAAAAAACAAUUCGGGCUUGGGAUUUGCCAAAGAGGCUGCCUUUCUAACAGAGGUGUUCCUUGUCGAGGCUCCCAAGGACCACUCGGCUGGCUCUUCUCCAAAGCAGUUUCAAACCCAUCUCAGUCCCUAGCAACCAACCAACAAAGUAACAAACAAAUAAACGAAGCAGAACAAAGCAAAACAAAACAACCCUUGAUUAGCGGCACCACGUGGACAAAGGACAAACACCGUCGCACGACUCUCAAAGCUGUC
This 682-nucleotide long non-coding RNA is filed under the name Felis catus (domestic cat). RNAcentral's name for it is "lncRNA (ENSFCAG00000049533.1)". The record is from RNAcentral. Lineage: Eukaryota; Metazoa; Chordata; Mammalia; Carnivora; Felidae.